GAGUUUGAUCCUGGCUCAGAACGAACGCUGGCGGCGUGCUUAACACAUGCAAGUCAGGGAGAAAGUCUCUUCGGGGAUGAUUAAACCGGCGCACGGGUGAGUAACACGUGAGUGACCUGCCUUUUAGACUGGAACAACUUACCGAAAGGUGAGCUAAUGCCGGAUGAGUUAUAUAAGUGCAUGUUUAUAUAGGAAAAGUUGGGGAGACCUGACGCUGAAAGAUGGACUCGCGUCCCAUUAGCUAGUUGGUAGGGUAAUGGCCUACCAAGGCGACGAUGGGUAGCCGGCCUGAGAGGGUGGCCGGCCACACUGGGACUGAGACACGGCCCAGACUCCUACGGGAGGCAGCAGUGGGGAAUUUUGCGCAAUGCUCGUAAGAGUGACGCAGCGACGCCGCGUGAAUGACGAAGGCCUUCGGGUCGUAAAGUUCUUUCGACAGGGAAGAAAAUGCCUAUAAGUAACUGUGUAUGUAUUGACGGUACCUGUAUAAGCAGCCCCGGCUAACUCCGUGCCAGCAGCCGCGGUAAUACGGAGGGGGCGAGCGUUGUUCGGAGUGACUGG
Molecule: ribosomal RNA, 561 nt
Filed under: uncultured bacterium
Lineage: Bacteria
Description: bacterial SSU rRNA
Rfam family: Bacterial small subunit ribosomal RNA
Source: RNAcentral